This 5940-nucleotide long non-coding RNA is filed under the name Pelobates cultripes (western spadefoot toad). The record is from RNAcentral. Lineage: Eukaryota; Metazoa; Chordata; Amphibia; Anura; Pelobatidae.
AGAUAAUGUCUAAAAUUAUUCUAAAUUAGUAAUUUCGAUUAACUAAGUUGUUGCAAAUUAAUGCUUUCAAUUAACUUAUGCUGCAGUACAAUAUAUGUGCUGUCUAUAAGAGGUAGAGAAAAACAAAGAUUAAUUAAAUUCCCAAUAUAAGUUUAGAAGAAGUAUUGCAAAAAACUACAUGUGCCUUCAUGGGCACCUACCUCAAGAAAACCCCACUAAAUUAGCUAACUAGCCAGAAAAAAUAAACUGAGAAGUGAAUCUGCAGGACGCCUUAAUAGGUGUAUACUGUGCACAGUUCCUUCGUGUUUUAAUCAGAAAGAUCACUUCUUGUUGCUGAAACUAAAGCUGCAGUUGCUGGUAUCUAAAUACUGAUGAUUGCUGUCUAUGUAAGUAGAAAAAACAUCUAACUGUGCCUUCAUGGGCAACUGCUACUGCUAAAAUUCUGAGUUAGCUAUUAGUCGGAAAAGAAAGCCCUGAUAAGCAUACAACAAACCCCGAAAAACUUUAGUAAAAAUAAUUGCUAUACCGAGCGGUUCCAAUUAACCCCACUUCAAAUGUAUAAAAAUCAAUAUUAAAUUCAAAUUAAGGUGGUUUGAGAAGAGGGAGCAAUCUCCCAAAGAAACCCCGACGCGCGUUUCGCCAGUAAGGUCCCUUUGAAAAGCCGCCUUACUGGCAAAACGCGCGUCGUUUUGAUGCCAGUCUCCUGGGAUGGGGAGCAGACUUGAACAACUCGUGGAUUCAAGGAACAUGGUCAUGGAAGGAGUCAAAACUUCAUUUGAAUUUAAGAGAAAUGAGAGCAGUUCUCAGGGCGCUAAAGGGGUUCCAUCAUCUCCUGAGGAAUGCUUGGGUGAGAAUACAUACAGACAACAGAGCGGUCGCAUCUUAUAUAAAUCAUCAGGGAGGCACCCGAAGCUAUUCUCUUCUGAUGGAACUAUCUCCUAUAAUGAAGUUUGCGCAACGCCAUUUACAAGGGUUGAAAGCUGUUUACCUUCCAGGGCCAGAAAAUUUAUUAUCAGAUUAUCUCAGCUGAACAAGGACUCUCCAGGGAGAGUGGAAGUUACAUCCGGACGUAUUUCAGUUGAUUACCCUGAGUACCCCAGAUCGAUCUUAUGGCAUCAUACAACAAUACCCAGGUAGAAAAGUAUUACUCUCUACAUGCGGAUCCUCGAGUAGCAGGACAGGAUGCUCUUUCCUUUACAUGGAAAUUCGACCUGGGGUACGCAUUCACUCCCCUACCUAUGAUUUACAGACUACUAAGAAAGAUAUGGAAAGAAGGUCUGAAGGUAAUUGCCAUCAUCCCAAUUUGGCCUCGCAGACCUUGGUUUCCUCUCCUGAACAAGAUGAGCCUGGAACCUCCUUGGCCUCUUCCUCACAGACCAGACAUCUUGACCCAGGGACCAGCUGUUCAUCCGAACCCCAACCAGCUGAAAUUGGGGGCACGGCUCUUGAAAAGGAGAGACUUCUAGCUCAAUGCAUUUCUGAGCCUGUGGUUAAUACCCUCCUCAAAUCCAGAAAAGGGUCGACUUCUUCUUGCUACCAUACGUUGUUCCUGGUCUCUAGCUAACAACGUUGAUUUCCUGCAGCCCUCUAACAUCAAUAUUCUAAAUUUUCUUCAUACAGGCCUGGAAAAAGGGCUGAGCCUUAGUACUCUGAAAGUCCAAUCAUCAGCUUUAUCUGCCCUCUGCAACAAGUCAUGGGCAUCUGAUCCUAUUAUUGCCAGAUUCUUUAAAGCAACAAUUCGCAUAAGACCUCCGAAAAGGAAUUAUUCUCCGCCUUGGAAUUUAUCUAUGGUAUUAGAGGUUUUGUCUGAAAACCCCUUUGCUCCUUUAGAUGAGCUGGGUAUUGUCUUACUAACAUAUAAGACCUUGUUUUUGGUGGCUAUAACUACAGCAAAACGCAUGUCAGAAAUCCAUGCAUUCUCUUGUGAUGAAAACCAUUUCCAGGUAUUCCACGACAGAGUGGUUUUAAGACCUAAACAAGAAUUUCUGCCUAAAGUAGUCUCGAAUUUCCACAUUCUGCAGGAAGUUGUUAUCCCUUCCUUUUAUCCAUCUCCUUCUUCUCCAGAAGAAGUGAAACUUCAUCAGUUGGACGUCAGACAGUGUCUACUCAAAUACGUUGAAGUUUCAAAUCAAUUUCGAAAGUCUCAUCAGCUAUUUGUUCUGCCGAUAGGUCCCAGGAGAGGGGAAGCAGCAUCUACCUCCACCUUGAGACGCUGGAUCUCCAAUACUAUAAUCAAGGCUUAUCAAUUAAAAGACCUUACUCCUCCUAGUAAGAUAAAGUCUCACUCUACAAGGGCUUUGGCAACAUCUUGGGCAAAUUGGGCAGAAGUUCCAGCUGACGACAUCUGUAAGGCAGCUACCUGGUUUUCACCUCUUACGUUCAUAAAUCACAACAAACUGGAUUUGGCAUCAUCCUCUACGGCUUUUGGUAGAGGUGUUCUAUCCUCUGUUGAAUCAAUCUAAUUAAACUUAUUUCAGCAUUAUCUGGUUUAGAAUAUUUUUUUUUUCCCCCUCCCUAUGGUGAAGCUUGGGUAUUACCCAUAAGUGAAGCUGCCAUGAUUAGCCAGGGAUACAGAAAAUGUUAUCAUACUUACCGUAAUUUUCUUUUCCUGGCUAUUAUUCAUGGCAGCAUCAGCAACCCUCCCUUAAGUAUUUAUGAAGCUUUGGAACUCGACUGUGGGUUGGAAGGAGGAGGGACCUUUUAUACCCCAGUCGGGUCCAGAUUAAUUAAUUUUUCCUGUCCUGUACCUGAUUGGGCGGAGCUAACCCAUAAGUGAUGCUGCCAUGAAUAAUAGCCAGGAAAAGAAAAUUACGGUUUGAUAAAAUUUUCUGUAUUAAUUUUGUUGUAGCAUGACUUGUAGAUAUGAAGAGCAAGCCCCAAAAUGUACUAUUUAACAGAUUAGCACCCAGAAAAUUCGAAUUUUUACAAGUGCACUGUAAGCACACUAUUAGACGCUUCUAUUUGACUCUCAGAUAUGAAGUGCACCCCACUAAAAUACUAUUUAGCAGUUUAGCACCCAAAAAUUUUUACGUUUUAAAACUGCAAUGUGACAGCAGUAUUUGACGCUUCUAUUUGAUUUUCACAUAUGAAGUGCACCGCAGGCCGCAAAUGUACUAUUUAGCAGAUUAGCACCCAGGAAAUAAGAAUGUUUACCAUUGCGCUGUAAGCACACUAUUAGACGCUUCUAUUUGAGUCUCAGAUAUGAAGUGCAGUCUGCAAAUGUACUAUUUAGCAGAUUAACACCCAGAAAAUAAGAAUGUUUACAACUGCGCUGUAAGCACACUAUAAGACGCUUCGAUUUGACUCUCAGAUAUGAAGUGCACACCCCAAAAUGUACUAUUUUGCAGUUUAGCAGCAAAACAAUUAGAAUGUUUACAAUUGCGCAUUAACCGCAGUAUUAGACGCUUCUAUUUGACUCUCAGAUUUGAAGUGCACGCCCCAAAAUGUACUAUUUAGCAGUUUAGCACCAAAACUAUUAGAACGUUUACAAUUGCGCAUUAACCACAGUAUUAGACACUUCUAUUUGACUCUCAGAUAUAUAGAGUAGGCCCCAAAAUGUACUAUUUAGCAGAUUAACACCCAGAUAAUAAGAAUAUUUACCACUGCGCUGUAAGCACGCUAUUAGAUGCUUUGAUUUGACUCUCAGAUAUGAAGUGCACCACAGGCCCCAAAAUGUACAAUUUAGCAGAUUAGCAGCAAAACAAUUAGAAUGUUUACAAUUGCGCUGUAACCGCAGUAUUAGACGCUUGUAUUUGACUCUCAGAUAUGAAGAGCACGCCUCAAAAUGUACUAUUUAGCAGAAUAACACCCAGAAAAUAAGAAUGUUUACCACUGCGCUGUAAGCACACUAUUAGACGCUUCUAUUUGACUCUGAGAUAUGAAGUGCAGUCCGCAAAUGUACUAUAUAGCAGAUUAACACCCAGAAAAUAAGAAUGUUUACCACUGCGCUGUAAGCACACUGUUAGACGCUUCGAUUUACUCUCAUAUAUGAAGAGCACACCCAAAAUGUACUAUUUAGCAGUUUAGCACCAAAACAAUUAGAAUGUUUACAAUUGCGCAUUAACCGCAGUAUUAGACGCUUCUAUUUGACUCUCAGAUUUGAAGUGCACGCCCCAAAAUGUACUAUUUAGCAGUUUAUCAGCAAAACAAUUAGAAUGUUUACAAUUGCGCUGUAACUGCAGUAUUAGAUGCUUCUAUUUGACUCUCAGAUUUGAAGUGCACGCCCCAAAAUGUACUAUUUAGCAGUUUAGCACCAAAACUAUUAGAAUGUUUACAAUUGCGCUGUUACCACAGUAUUAGACACUUCUAUUUGACUCUCAGAUAUAUAGAGUAGGCCCCAAAAUGUACUAUUUAGCAGAUUAACACCCAGAUAAUAAGAAUAUUUACCACUGCGCUGUAAGCACACUAUUAGAUGCUUUGAUUUGACUCUCAGAUAUGAAGUGCACCACAGGCCCCAAAAUGUACUAUUUAGCAGAUUAGCAGCAAAACAAUUAGAAUGUUUACAAUUGCGCUGUAACCGCAGUAUUAGACGUUUGUAUUUGACUCUCAGAUAUGAAGAGCAGGCCCCAAAAUGUACUAUUUAGCAGAAUAACACCCAGAAAAUAAGAAUGUUUACCACUGCGCUGUAAGCACACUAUUAGACACUUCUAUUUGACUCUCAGAUAUGAAGUGCAGUCCGCAAAUCUACUAUAUAGCAGAUUAACACCCAGAAAAUAAGAAUGUUUACCACUGCGCUGUAAGCACACUGUUAGACGCUUCGAUUUACUCUCAUAUAUGAAGAGCACGCCCAAAAUGUACUAUUUAGCAGUUUAGCAGCAAAACAUUUAGAAUGUUUACAAUUGCGCUGUAACCGCAGUAUUUGACGCUUCUAUUUGACUCUCAGAUUUGAAGUGCACACCCCAAAAUUUACUAUUUAGCAGUUUAGCAGCAAAACAAUUAUAAUGUUUACAAUUGCGCUGUAACCGCAGUAUUAGACGUUUCUAUUUGACUCUCAGAUAUAUAGAGCAGGCCCCAAAAUGUAAUAUUUAGCAGAUUAACACCCAGAAAAUUAGAAUUUUUACAACUGCGCUGUAAGCACACUUUUAGACGCUUCGAUUUGACUCUCAGAAAUGAAGUGCACCGCAGGCCCCAAAAGGUACUAUUUAGCGGAUUAGCAGCAAAAUAAUUGGAAUGUAUACAAUUGCGCUGUAACCGCAGUAUUAGACGCUUCUAUUUGACUCUCAGAUAUGAAGAGCAGGCCCCAAAAUGUACUAUUUAGCAGAAUAACACCAAGAAAAUAAGAAUGUUUACCACUGCGCUGUAAGCGCACUAUUAGACGCUUCUAUUUGACUCUCAGAUAUGAAGUGCAGUCCGCAAAUGUACUAUUUAGCAGAAUAACACCAAGAAAAUAAGAAUGUUUACCACUGCGCUGUAAGCACACUAUUAGAUGCUUCUAUUUGACUCUCAGAUAUGAAGUGCACCCCACUAAAAUACUAUUUAGCAGUUUAGCACCAAAUAAUUUUAAGUUUUAAAACUGCAAUGUCACAGCAGUAUUUGACGCUUCUAUUUGACUCUCAGAUAUGAAGUGCACACCACUAAUGUACUUUUUAGCACCCAAAAAUUUGUACGUUUUAAAACUGCAAUGUGACAGCAGUAUUUGACGAUUCUAUUUGACUCUCAGAUAUGAAAUGAACCCCACUAAUAUACUAUCCCACUAAUGUACUAUUUAGCACCAAAACAAUUGACUUUUUAAAACUCAGAUGUAACCGCUGUAUUUGAAGCUUCUAUUUGACCCCUUAAGAUAUGAAGUGCACCCCACCCCACUAAUGUACUAGUUUGCAGAAUACUCUCCUAAGCAUUCUCUCCCUACACUAAUAAGACCGCACGUGCGUGCGGCGCUACGCGACUCCAGCUUACAUAUAGCGGCUGGGUCACAGCCAUCCUCCCACACUAUCAAACCUG